CCCUUAGAUGUUCUGGGCCGCACGCGCGCUACACUGAUGCAUUCAACGAGCCUAUCCUUGACCGACAGGUCCGGGUAAUCUUUGAAUCUGCAUCGUGACGGGGAUAGAUUAUUGCAAUUAUUAAUCUUCAACGAGGAAUGCCUAGUAGGCGCAAGUCAUCAGCUUGCGUCGAUUAUGUCCCUGCCCUUUGUACACACCGCCCGUCGCUCCUACCGAUUGGGUGUGCUGGUGAAAUGUUCGGAUCGGCCGUUUGUCGCGGUUUCCGCGUCAUGUGGCUGAGAAGUUCAUUAAACCCUCCCACCUAGAGGAAGGAGAAGUCGUAACA
RNAcentral lists this ribosomal RNA (325 nucleotides) under uncultured eukaryote. Its description in RNAcentral is "partial 18S ribosomal RNA". It matches the Rfam family "Eukaryotic small subunit ribosomal RNA", at positions 1470 to 1796 of the family's 1831-position model. The record is from RNAcentral.